This is a long non-coding RNA of Saccostrea cuccullata (small rock oyster), 724 nucleotides long. RefSeq lists it as uncharacterized. The transcript is spliced from 4 exons. Lineage: Eukaryota; Metazoa; Mollusca; Bivalvia; Ostreida; Ostreidae. The record is from RefSeq and is a predicted model, not a curated record.
AUAAUAAAAAAUGGUAGUUGGGUACUCUAUAGCAAAUAAUUUGAUUUAGAAUGUACAACAAAUAUGAAAACGCGUGAACGAUUAUCUCCCUUUUGUGGAACUCUCCUGCUGAUAAAGAACAGAAAGUUGCUGUUGCAGCAGAAGUCGGAGAAGAAAAACACCAUGUAACGAUGUUUAAAGCAGGUCUUGUGCGGUUACAGAGGACAUGACAGCAUCAAGAGUUUGUAGGUGACUGAAAAGAGAAUCAUGAUGAUAAUCAGUUGCAAUGUGAACUACCAAAUAACCAUGAAGUACAAGCAGAUCCAAUUAAUGUGGAACAAAUAAAGGAGAAUCAUGAUGAUGAUGAGUUGCUAUGUGAACUACCAAAUAACCAUGAAGUACAACCAGAUUCAAAGCAUAUGGAACAAAUAGAGGUGGAAUCAACUUCAGAUGACAACUUUUCCAAACACCUUGUGAAAGUCAUCUGAAUGCCAGGAUUCUCAAGAGCAUGAAGAUAGUCCAUUACAUAGAAGGAAGACCUUGAUUAUGUAUCUUGAUGCCAUUGGUGAAAAGGCAGAGGUCUAACACUGACUGUGAAGAAAAUGACUUGACAGCUGAAGGGAACAUGAACAAUUUGAAUCAGAUUUCUGAUAGGGCUCUUAAAGCAGUGAACUAAAAAACAUUUUCUUACUAAGUUUAAGAUUUUGAUAUCAAAGUUUUUGGAAGGGGGAUAUAGGAAUCACCC